GGACCUCUGGCGCAACGGUAGCGCGUUCGACUCCAGUCUCAGGGCUAUCGAAAGGUUAUCCGGUAUGUGGUAGAAUGCCCAAGUAUCCAGUUCUCAUAGCUAACGACAAUUAGUUCAAAUCGGGUGGGGUUCA
Knufia fluminis is the source of this 133-nucleotide non-coding RNA. The record is from the annotation of a GenBank genome assembly. NCBI's taxonomy places the organism in Eukaryota, Fungi, Ascomycota, Eurotiomycetes, Chaetothyriales, Trichomeriaceae.